Molecule: ribosomal RNA, 433 nt
Filed under: uncultured bacterium
Lineage: Bacteria
Description: partial 16S ribosomal RNA
Rfam family: Bacterial small subunit ribosomal RNA
Source: RNAcentral
AACGAACGCUGGCGGCAGGCCUAACACAUGCAAGUCGAGCGGACCUUUCGGGGUCACCGGCGGACGGGUGAGUAACGCGUGGGAAUAUGCCCUUCUCUACGGAAUAGUCCUGGGAAACUGGGGGUAAUACCGGAUACGCUCCUCGGGGGCCAGAUAUAUCGGGGGAGGUUUAGCCCGCGUUGGAUGAGGUUGUUGGUGGGGUAAUGGCCUACCAAGGCGUAGAUCCAUAGCUGGUUUGAGAGGAUGAGCAGCCACACUGGGAAUGAGACACGGCGCAGACUCCUACGCGAAGCAGCAGUGGGGAAUCUUAGACAAUGGGGGCAACCCUGAUCUAGCCAUGCCGCGUGAGUGAUGAAGGCCUUAGGGUUGUAAAGCUCUUUCAGCUGGGAAGAUAAUGACGGUACCAGCAGAAGAAGCCCCGGCUAACUCCGUG